Molecule: ribosomal RNA, 253 nt
Filed under: uncultured bacterium
Lineage: Bacteria
Description: partial 16S ribosomal RNA
Rfam family: Bacterial small subunit ribosomal RNA
Source: RNAcentral
UACAGAGACCUCUAGCGUUAUCCGGAUUUACUGGGCGUAAAGGGUCCGCAGGUGGUUUUGUAAGUCUUCGGUUAAAUUCUUGAGCUCAACUCGAGAACCGCCGAGGAAACUAUAAGACUAGAGACCGGGAGAGGCAAGCGGAAUUGCCGGUGUAGUAGUAAAAUGCGUUAAUAUCGGCAAGAACACCAAAUGCGAAGGCAGCUUGCUAGAACGGUUCUGACACUCAGGGACGAAAGCGUGGGGAGCGAUACGG